CCAGGCCCUCCGGGAAAGCACCAGGCCGCUCUCGGCAACUUCCUCGUUCCCCACGUGCUCUCUGCAAAGCCAGCUCAGGACGUGGGGAGCUCAAAUGUCAGACAGUGGGAGCUGGAAGCCCCCGAGGGAGCCCGAGGAGCCAGGCCCAGGCGAGGGGAAGGGACGUGCCCACACCAGCCAGGGAGUGGGUGGCAAGACAAGAGAAGUGAGGCGACGACUGGCCCCGGGGAAAGGACAGAUGGGCAUCCUCUCCGGUGGAAAGCUCGGGCGGGGAUCCUUCCCGAUUUCCCCGAUCGGAUGCCAAGCUCCAGGCCCACCCGUCCUCCACCCAGGCGUCCGUCCCUGCGGCAGGAGCCCCUUGCUGAGUCUCACACCCAGGCUCCGGGCCCAGAAACUGGAACGCUUCCUCUGCAAUCCUUGUAAGUGUAUCCAGGCCGCCGUGAUUCCACUCGGCCAAAGACCAUAUCCGUUUCCACCACAGCGAGCCGAAAGAUUCCACCAUUUUUAGCUGGGCCCUAAAUCAAGAUGAUGUUUCCCAGCCUGCCUGGCAGGUGCACGUGGCCAUGUGAUUAAGUGAGAAGAAAGUGAAAUUGUCCUAUGGCUCUUUUUAGGAACCUUCCUUAAAAGAUGGUGAAUGAGCACCUUUUUCUGUAUGCCUUCCUCCAUCUACCUGCCAGUAACAUGAGCGUGAUGUCUAGAGCGCCAGCUGUGGUCUUGUGCCACGGGGAUGAUCCUGGCCCUGGAUCCUAUUCUACAUUCUUUUUCUUUCUUUUUUCUUGCCUACAAAUACCUCAGUCUGUGAAUCAGCUUCAUCAUCAUACUUAAAUGGGUUCAAUAAGACUUUGACUUAUGUUCAUUCUAUAUUUUAUAAGAGCCCUUUUUAAGAGAAGUUUAAGGGAUAAACUGAAAAGAAGCAUGAGUCCCUGGGGGCUGGGCCAAGUACCACACAAACCCUGGGCUUCCGGCCUCCCAGCUUUCACAUGAGAGAGAAAGGACCAGUUGUAUGAUGCAAGCCGCUACUUUUUUGGAUCUCUGUUGCUUUCAGCCAAAUGCAGUCCUAACUGAUAUGGCACAAAGGAGGAAGAUGGAGUCUCCGGGGCAAGGUUGGCCUUCUUCACAGAAGGGCCUGGGGAUGGCCUUGAUUCGAAGAACCAACCAGAAAGGCCCUGGAGAACCCGGCAGUUGGAACUGUUGGGGAGACAGAUGUUGAAUGGGUUCUAUCAGCCAUGACUCGCCCUGACUUGCAUCAUUACACCUUCUUUCGGGUCUGCCCUGCCCACUGAGUUUACGGCAUUAAUAGGAGCUGCCUGCCAAGACAUCAUGGUUCCACACAUGGGGGAUCCCCAAUCUCCCCUCUUUUCGGUACAAAGAAAUGGUGUGUCACCAAAACCGUAAUGAGAAAAUCUGUCAAGCAGAGUUCACUUCUCAGGGAGCACGUGGAGCAAAUACCUUCCAUCCUGCCCUGCUGGGCUUUGUCCCUCGGCCGUGCAAGAAUGGAACACGUCGAUCUCUUCAACACAGACUGACAAGGCGAGGUGCAGAGCCCCUGAACUGGCUGGAAAUUUAAAAUCAGCUUCACCCUCUCCUGAGCCUCUGGAGAAGGGGAAGGAUAGGCAUCCCCUGCAGAUGUAGUGCACACUUCAGAGGUCCGGGUGAUGACAUCAGUUGGUGGUGUGUGUGUGUGUGUGUGUGUGUGUGCAUGCUACACACGUGUACUUUGAGACUGCUUUUUUUUUAAAAAAAAAAACAUUUUAUUUAUUUAUUUAUUCAUGAGAGACAGAGAGAG
Canis lupus familiaris (dog) is the source of this 1786-nucleotide long non-coding RNA. RefSeq lists it as uncharacterized. NCBI's taxonomy places the organism in Eukaryota, Metazoa, Chordata, Mammalia, Carnivora, Canidae. The record is from RefSeq and is a predicted model, not a curated record. The transcript has 3 exons.